RNAcentral lists this small nuclear RNA (164 nucleotides) under Echinops telfairi (small Madagascar hedgehog). RNAcentral describes it as "U1 spliceosomal RNA (ENSETEG00000020857.1)". It matches the Rfam family "U1 spliceosomal RNA". From Rfam's summary of the family: U1 is a small nuclear RNA (snRNA) component of the spliceosome (involved in pre-mRNA splicing). Its 5' end forms complementary base pairs with the 5' splice junction, thus defining the 5' donor site of an intron. There are significant differences in sequence and secondary structure between metazoan and yeast U1 snRNAs, the latter being much longer (568 nucleotides as compared to 164 nucleotides in human). The record is from RNAcentral. Lineage: Eukaryota; Metazoa; Chordata; Mammalia; Afrosoricida; Tenrecidae.
AUACCUCCCUGGCAGGGGAGAUGCCAUGAUCACGAAGGUGGUUUUCCCAGGGCGAGGCUUAUCCAUUGCACUCCGGAUAUGCUGACCCCUGCAAUUUCCCCAAAUGUGGGAAACUCGACUGCAUAAUUUGUGGUAGUGGGGGACUGCGUUCGCACUCUCCCCUA